This 253-nucleotide ribosomal RNA is filed under the name uncultured bacterium. RNAcentral's name for it is "partial 16S ribosomal RNA". It matches the Rfam family "Bacterial small subunit ribosomal RNA", at positions 524 to 776 of the family's 1533-position model. The record is from RNAcentral.
UACGUAGGGUGCGAGCGUUGUCCGGAAUUAUUGGGCGUAAAGAGCUUGUAGGCGGUCUGUCGCGUCUGCUGUGAAAAUCCGGGGCUCAACCCCGGACUUGCAGUGGGUACGGGCAGACUAGAGUGUGGUAGGGGAGACUGGAACUCCUGGUGUAGCGGUGAAAUGCGCAGAUAUCAGGAGGAACACCGAUGGCGAAGGCAGGUCUCUGGGCCACUACUGACGCUGAGAAGCGAAAGCAUGGGGAGCGAACAGG